RNAcentral lists this transfer RNA (72 nucleotides) under Loxodonta africana (African savanna elephant). It matches the Rfam family "tRNA". Rfam says of the family: Transfer RNA (tRNA) molecules are approximately 80 nucleotides in length. Their secondary structure includes four short double-helical elements and three loops (D, anti-codon, and T loops). The record is from Rfam by way of RNAcentral. Lineage: Eukaryota; Metazoa; Chordata; Mammalia; Proboscidea; Elephantidae.
GCCCUGGUGGCACAGCGGUUAAGCGCUCAGCUGCUAACUGAAAGGUUGGUGGUUUGAACCCACCCAGUGGCU